This 312-nucleotide unclassified non-coding RNA is filed under the name Hevea brasiliensis (rubber tree). The record is from RNAcentral. Lineage: Eukaryota; Viridiplantae; Streptophyta; Magnoliopsida; Malpighiales; Euphorbiaceae.
GGGCUCGAUUUGGUCUGGGCGCUGAGGUUGGGAUUAGCACAAGUCGAAUCCAUGCUCGGGGUCCAGUAGGAGUUGAAGGAUUAUUAACGACCAGAUGGAUUCUUAGGGGAAGUGGGCAAGUCGUGGAUGGUGAUAAAGGGGUUGUCUACACACACAGGGACAUCAAGAUUGAGUCUCAACUCGCCAACUGAUUCCAGCCUUAAGAAUUCGCGCUGGCCAUUCAUGUAUAAAAUAAGUGUUAUUUUCUUCUCCCUUCGAGUUUUAGUGUGAUACUUGCAGAAAUAAUGUGAUUUAAUUAGAGUUUAGAAGCGA